AUUGAACGCUGGCGGCAGGCCUAACACAUGCAAGUCGAGCGGAUGAAGGGGAGCUUGCUCCUGGAUUCAGCGGCGGACGGGUGAGUAAUGCCUAGGAAUCUGCCUGGUAGUGGGGGAUAACGUCCGGAAACGGGCGCUAAUACCGCAUACGUCCUGAGGGAGAAAGUGGGGGAUCUUCGGACCUCACGCUAUCAGAUGAGCCUAGGUCGGAUUAGCUAGUUGGUGGGGUAAAGGCCUACCAAGGCGACGAUCCGUAACUGGUCUGAGAGGAUGAUCAGCCACACUGGAACUGAGACACGGUCCAGACUCCUACGGGAGGCAGCAGUGGGGAAUAUUGGACAAUGGGCGAAAGCCUGAUCCAGCCAUGCCGCGUGUGUGAAGAAGGUCUUCGGAUUGUAAAGCACUUUAAGUUGGGAGGAAGGGCAGUAAGUUAAUACCUUGCUGUUUUGACGUUACCAACAGAAUAAGCACCGGCUAACUUCGUG
Molecule: ribosomal RNA, 485 nt
Filed under: uncultured bacterium
Lineage: Bacteria
Description: partial 16S ribosomal RNA
Rfam family: Bacterial small subunit ribosomal RNA
Source: RNAcentral